Long non-coding RNA from Vitis riparia (riverbank grape), 173 nucleotides. RefSeq lists it as uncharacterized. The record is from RefSeq and is a predicted model, not a curated record. NCBI's taxonomy places the organism in Eukaryota, Viridiplantae, Streptophyta, Magnoliopsida, Vitales, Vitaceae. The transcript has 3 exons.
CAGGAUUGUGGGCGAGGUCGGUGCCAAGAUCCGAGUCUUAGACUUCAUUUCUCCCGAUGUCCAGGAGCGAACGCGAUGGUCUUGAAGUUGUUAGAAAUCCAAAGAGGCCUAUCGGCGCUUGGAUACAUUACUAUAACGAUCAAUUAGCCAUGAUGAAAGAGAAGGAUAAAGGA